This is a non-coding RNA of Xyrichtys novacula (pearly razorfish), 8041 nucleotides long. Lineage: Eukaryota; Metazoa; Chordata; Actinopteri; Labriformes; Labridae. The record is from the annotation of a GenBank genome assembly.
AUUGCAGCUGAUGUUGUGGUUGAGCUGGCUGUAGUUGUGGUUGGUGUGGCUGUAGUUCUGGUUUGUGCAACUUUUGUUGUGGUUUGCAUAGCUGUAGUGGUGGUUGGUGCUUCUGUAGUUGCUGUUGAAACACUUGAUGAUAUUGUUGGUGCAGCUGUUGCUGUGGUUGAGCUAGCCUGAGUUGUGGUUUUUGCAGAUUUUGUAGUGGAUGGUGCACCUGUCAUUGUGGUUGAGCUAGCCUUAGUUGUGGUUGGUGUAGCUGUUGAAACAGUUGUUGAUGUGGCUGGGGUAGCUGUAGUUGAGGUGGAGCCAGCUGUAGUUGUAGUUUUUGCUUCUUUUGUAGUGCUUGGUGCAGCUGUUGUUUUGGUUGAAACAGUUGUUGAUGUGGUUGAUGCAUCUGUUGUUCUGGCAUGUGUGGCUGAAGUGGUGGUUGUUGCAGCUUUUGAGGUUGAUGGUGCAGCUGUAGUUGUGGGUGGUGCAGUUGUUGUUGCGGCUGGUGUAGCUGUUGUAGUCAUUGAAACAGUUGUUGGUGUGGUUGGGGCAGCUGUAGUUAAGGUGGAGGCAGCUGCAGUUGUGGUUUUUGCUUCUUUUGUAGUUGUUGGUGCAGCUGUAGUGGUUGUUGGUGCAUUUGUUGUAGUAGUUGAAAUAGUUGUUGAUGUGGUUGGUGCAGUUGUUGUUGCGGCUGGUGUGUCUGAAGUGGUGGUAAUUGCAGCUGAUGUUGUGGUUGAGCUGGCUGUAGUUGUGGUUGGUGUGGCUGUAGUUCUGGUUUGUGCAACUUUUGUUGUGGUUUGCAUAGCUGUAGUGGUGGUUGGUGCUUCUGUAGUUGCUGUUGAAACACUUGAUGAUAUUGUUGGUGCAGCUGUUGCUGUGGUUGAGCUAGCCUGAGUUGUGGUUUUUGCAGAUUUUGUAGUGGAUGGUGCACCUGUCAUUGUGGUUGAGCUAGCCUUAGUUGUGGUUGGUGUAGCUGUUGAAACAGUUGUUGAUGUGGCUGGGGUAGCUGUAGUUGAGGUGGAGCCAGCUGUAGUUGUAGUUUUUGCUUCUUUUGUAGUGCUUGGUGCAGCUGUUGUUUUGGUUGAAACAGUUGUUGAUGUGGUUGAUGCAUCUGUUGUUCUGGCAUGUGUGGCUGAAGUGGUGGUUGUGGCAGCUUUUGAGGUUGAUGGUGCAGUUGUAGUUGUGGGUGGUGCAGUUGUUGUUGCGGCUGGUGUAGCUGUUGUAGUCAUUGAAACAGUUGUUGGUGUGGUUGGGGCAGCUGUAGUUAAGGUGGAGGCAGCUGCAGUUGUGGUUUUUGCUUCUUUUGUAGUUGUUGGUGCAGCUGUAGUGGUUGUUGGUGCAUUUGUUGUAGUAGUUGAAAUAGUUGUUGAUGUGGUUGGUGCAGUUGUUGUUGCGGCUGGUGUGUCUGAAGUGGUGGUAAUUGCAGCUGAUGUUGUGGUUGAGCUGGCUGUAGUUGUGGUUGGUGUGGCUGUAGUUCUGGUUUGUGCAACUUUUGUUGUGGUUUGCAUAGCUGUAGUGGUGGUUGGUGCUUCUGUAGUUGCUGUUGAAACACUUGAUGAUAUUGUUGGUGCAGCUGUUGCUGUGGUUGAGCUAGCCUGAGUUGUGGUUUUUGCAGAUUUUGUAGUGGAUGGUGCACCUGUCAUUGUGGUUGAGCUAGCCUUAGUUAUGGUUGGUGUAGCUGUUGAAACAGUUGUUGAUGUGGCUGGGGUAGCUGUAGUUGAGGUGGAGCCAGCUGUAGUUGUAGUUUUUGCUUCUUUUGUAGUGCUUGGUGCAGCUGUUGUUUUGGUUGAAACAGUUGUUGAUGUGGUUGAUGCAUCUGUUGUUCUGGCAUGUGUGGCUGAAGUGGUGGUUGUUGCAGCUUUUGAGGUUGAUGGUGCAGUUGUAGUUGUGGGUGGUGCAGUUGUUGUUGCGGCUGGUGUAGCUGUUGUAGUCAUUGAAACAGUUGUUGGUGUGGUUGGGGCAGCUGUAGUUAAGGUGGAGGCAGCUGCAGUUGUGGUUUUUGCUUCUUUUGUAGUUGUUGGUGCAGCUGUAGUGGUUGUUGGUGCAUUUGUUGUAGUAGUUGAAAUAGUUGUUGAUGUGGUUGGUGCAGUUGUUGUUGCGGCUGGUGUGUCUGAAGUGGUGGUAAUUGCAGCUGAUGUUGUGGUUGAGCUGGCUGUAGUUGUGGUUGGUGUGGCUGUAGUUCUGGUUUGUGCAACUUUUGUUGUGGUUUGCAUAGCUGUAGUGGUGGUUGGUGCUUCUGUAGUUGCUGUUGAAACACUUGAUGAUAUUGUUGGUGCAGCUGUUGCUGUGGUUGAGCUAGCCUGAGUUGUGGUUUUUGCAGAUUUUGUAGUGGAUGGUGCACCUGUCAUUGUGGUUGAGCUAGCCUUAGUUGUGGUUGGUGUAGCUGUUGAAACAGUUGUUGAUGUGGCUGGGGUAGCUGUAGUUGAGGUGGAGCCAGCUGUAGUUGUAGUUUUUGCUUCUUUUGUAGUGCUUGGUGCAGCUGUUGUUUUGGUUGAAACAGUUGUUGAUGUGGUUGAUGCAUCUGUUGUUCUGGCAUGUGUGGCUGAAGUGGUGGUUGUGCAGCUUUUGAGGUUGAUGGUGCAGUUGUAGUUGUGGGUGGUGCAGUUGUUGUUGCGGCUGGUGUAGCUGUUGUAGUCAUUGAAACAGUUGUUGGUGUGGUUGGGGCAGCUGUAGUUAAGGUGGAGGCAGCUGCAGUUGUGGUUUUUGCUUCUUUUGUAGUUGUUGGUGCAGCUGUAGUGGUUGUUGGUGCAUUUGUUGUAGUAGUUGAAAUAGUUGUUGAUGUGGUUGGUGCAGUUGUUGUUGCGGCUGGUGUGUCUGAAGUGGUGGUAAUUGCAGCUGAUGUUGUGGUUGAGCUGGCUGUAGUUGUGGUUGGUGUGGCUGUAGUUCUGGUUUGUGCAACUUUUGUUGUGGUUUGCAUAGCUGUAGUGGUGGUUGGUGCUUCUGUAGUUGCUGUUGAAACACUUGAUGAUAUUGUUGGUGCAGCUGUUGCUGUGGUUGAGCUAGCCUGAGUUGUGGUUUUUGCAGAUUUUGUAGUGGAUGGUGCACCUGUCAUUGUGGUUGAGCUAGCCUUAGUUGUGGUUGGUGUAGCUGUUGAAACAGUUGUUGAUGUGGCUGGGGUAGCUGUAGUUGAGGUGGAGCCAGCUGUAGUUGUAGUUUUUGCUUCUUUUGUAGUGCUUGGUGCAGCUGUUGUUUUGGUUGAAACAGUUGUUGAUGUGGUUGAUGCAUCUGUUGUUCUGGCAUGUGUGGCUGAAGUGGUGGUUGUUGCAGCUUUUGAGGUUGAUGGUGCAGCUGUAGUUGUGGGUGGUGCAGUUGUUGUUGCGGCUGGUGUAGCUGUUGUAGUCAUUGAAACAGUUGUUGGUGUGGUUGGGGCAGCUGUAGUUAAGGUGGAGGCAGCUGUAGUUGUAGUUUUUGCUUCUUUUGUAGUUGUUGGUGCAGCUGUAGUGGUUGUUGGUGCAUUUGUUGUAGUAGUUGAAAUAGUUGUUGAUGUGGUUGGUGCAGUUGUUGUUGCGGCUGGUGUGUCUGAAGUGGUGGUAAUUGCAGCUGAUGUUGUGGUUGAGCUGGCUGUAGUUGUGGUUGGUGUGGCUGUAGUUCUGGUUUGUGCAACUUUUGUUGUGGUUUGCAUAGCUGUAGUGGUGGUUGGUGCUUCUGUAGUUGCUGUUGAAACACUUGAUGAUAUUGUUGGUGCAGCUGUUGCUGUGGUUGAGCUAGCCUGAGUUGUGGUUUUUGCAGAUUUUGUAGUGGAUGGUGCACCUGUCAUUGUGGUUGAGCUAGCCUUAGUUGUGGUUGGUGUAGCUGUUGAAACAGUUGUUGAUGUGGCUGGGGUAGCUGUAGUUGAGGUGGAGCCAGCUGUAGUUGUAGUUUUUGCUUCUUUUGUAGUGCUUGGUGCAGCUGUUGUUUUGGUUGAAACAGUUGUUGAUGUGGUUGAUGCAUCUGUUGUUCUGGCAUGUGUGGCUGAAGUGGUGGUUGUGGCAGCUUUUGAGGUUGAUGGUGCAGUUGUAGUUGUGGGUGGUGCAGUUGUUGUUGCGGCUGGUGAAGCUGUUAGAGUCAUUGAAACAGUUGUUGGUAUGGUUGGGGCAGCUGUAGUUAAGGUGGAGGCAGCUGCAGUUGUGGUUUUUGCUUCUUUUGUAGUUGUUGGUGCAGCUGUAGUGAUUGUUGGUGCAUUUGUUGUAGUAGUUGAAAUAGUUGUUGAUGUGGUUGGUGCAGUUGUUGUUGCGGCUGGUGUGUCUGAAGUGGUGGUAAUUGCAGCUGAUGUUGUGGUUGAGCUGGCUGUAGUUGUGGUUGGUGUGGCUGUAGUUCUGGUUUGUGCAACUUUUGUUGUGGUUUGCAUAGCUGUAGUGGUGGUUGGUGCUUCUGUAGUUGCUGUUGAAACACUUGAUGAUAUUGUUGGUGCAGCUGUUGCUGUGGUUGAGCUAGCCUGAGUUGUGGUUUUUGCAGAUUUUGUAGUGGAUUGUGCACCUGUCAUUGUGGUUGAGCUAGCCUUAGUUGUGGUUGGUAUAGCUGUUGAAAUAGUUGUUGAUGUGGCUGGGGUAGCUGUAGUUGAGGUGGAACCAGCUGUAGUUGUAGUUUUUGCUUCUUUUGUAUUGCUUGGUGCAGCUGUUGUUUUGGUUGAAACAGUUGUUGAUGUGGUUGAUGCAUCUGUUGUUCUGGCAUGUGUGGCUGAAGUGGUGGUUGUUGCAGCUUUUGUUGUUGAUGGUGCAGCUGUAGUUGUGGGUGGUGCAGUUGUUGUUGCGGCUGGGGUAGCUGUAGUUGUAGUCAUUGAAACAGUUGUUGGUGUGGUUGGGGCAGCUGUAGUUAAGGUGGAGGCAGCUGCAGUUGUGGUUUUUGCUUCUUUUGUAGUUGUUGGUGCAGCUGUAGUGGUUGUUGGUGCAUUUGUUGUAGUAGUUGAAAUAGUUGUUGAUGUGGUUGGUGCAGUUGUUGUUGCGGCUGGUGUGUCUGAAGUGGUGGUAAUUGCAGCUGAUGUUGUGGUUGAGCUGGCUGUAGUUGUGGUUGGUGUGGCUGUAGUUCUGGUUUGUGCAACUUUUGUUGUGGUUUGCAUAGCUGUAGUGGUGGUUGGUGCUUCUGUAGUUGCUGUUGAAACACUUGAUGAUAUUGUUGGUGCAGCUGUUGCUGUGGUUGAGCUAGCCUGAGUUGUGGUUUUUGCAGAUUUUGUAGUGGAUGGUGCACCUGUCAUUGUGGUUGAGCUAGCCUUAGUUAUGGUUGGUGUAGCUGUUGAAACAGUUGUUGAUGUGGCUGGGGUAGCUGUAGUUGAGGUGGAGCCAGCUGUAGUUGUAGUUUUUGCUUCUUUUGUAGUGCUUGGUGCAGCUGUUGUUUUGGUUGAAACAGUUGUUGAUGUGGUUGAUGCAUCUGUUGUUCUGGCAUGUGUGGCCGAAGUGGUGGUUGUGGCAGCUUUUGAAGUUGAUGGUGCAGCUGUAGUUGUGGGUGGUGCAGUUGUUGUUGCGGCUGGUGUAGCUGUUGUAGUCAUUGAAACAGUUGUUGGUGUGGUUGGGGCAGCUGUAGUUAAGGUGGAGGCAGCUGCAGUUGUGGUUUUUGCUUCUUUUGUAGUUGUUGGUGCAGCUGUAGUGGUUGUUGGUGCAUUUGUUGUAGUAGUUGAAAUAGUUGUUGAUGUGGUUGGUGCAGUUGUUGUUGCGGCUGGUGUGUCUGAAGUGGUGAUAAUUGCAGCUGAUGUUGUGGUUGGUGUGGCUGUAGUUGUGGUUGGUGUGGCUGUAGUUCUGGUUUGUGCAACUUUUGUUGUGGUUUGCAUAGCUGUAGUGGUGGUUGGUGCUUCUGUAGUUGCUGUUGAAACACUUGAUGAUAUUGUUGGUGCAGCUGUUGCUGUGGUUGAGCUAGCCUGAGUUGUGGUUUUUGCAGAUUUUGUAGUGGAUGGUGCACCUGUCAUUGUGGUUGAGCUAGCCUUAGUUAUGGUUGGUGUAGCUGUUGAAACAGUUGUUGAUGUGGCUGGGGUAGCUGUAGUUGAGGUGGAGCCAGCUGUAGUUGUAGUUUUUGCUUCUUUUGUAGUGCUUGGUGCAGCUGUUGUUUUGGUUGAAACAGUUGUUGAUGUGGUUGAUGCAUCUGUUGUUCUGGCAUGUGUGGCUGAAGUGGUGGUUGUGGCAGCUUUUGAGGUUGAUGGUGCAGUUGUAGUUGUGGGUGGUGCAGUUGUUGUUGCGGCUGGUGUAGCUGUUGUAGUCAUUGAAACAGUUGUUGGUGUGGUUGGGGCAGCUGUAGUUAAGGUGGAGGCAGCUGCAGUUGUGGUUUUUGCUUCUUUUGUAGUUGUUGGUGCAGCUGUAGUGGUUGUUGGUGCAUUUGUUGUAGUAGUUGAAAUAGUUGUUGAUGUGGUUGGUGCAGUUGUUGUUGCGGCUGGUGUGUCUGAAGUGGUGGUAAUUGCAGCUGAUGUUGUGGUUGAGCUGGCUGUAGUUGUGGUUGGUGUGGCUGUAGUUCUGGUUUGUGCAACUUUUGUUGUGGUUUGCAUAGCUGUAGUGGUGGUUGGUGCUUCUGUAGUUGCUGUUGAUAUACUUGAUGAUAUUGUUGGUGGAGCUGUUGCUGUGGUUGAGCUAGCCUGAGUUGUGGUUUUUGCAGAUUUUGUAGUGGAUGGUGCACCUGUCAUUGUGGUUGAGCUAGCCUUAGUUGUGGUUGGUGUAGCUGUUGAAACAGUUGUUGAUGUGGCUGGGGUAGCUGUAGUUGAGGUGGAGCCAACUGUAGUUGUAGUUUUUGCUUCUUUUGUAGUGCUUGGUGCAGCUGUUGUUUUGGUUGAAACAGUUGUUGAUGUGGUUGAUGCAUCUGUUGUUCUGGCAUGUGUGGCUGAAGUGGUGGUUGUUGCAGCUUUUGAGGUUGAUGGUGCAGCUGUAGUUGUGGGUGGUGCAGUUGUUGUUGCGGCUGGUGUAGCUGUUGUAGUCAUUGAAACAGUUGUUGGUGUGGUUGGGGCAGCUGUAGUUAAGGUGGAGGCAGCUGCAGUUGUGGUUUUUGCUUCUUUUGUAGUUGUUGGUGCAGCUGUAGUGGUUGUUGGUGCAUUUGUUGUAGUAGUUGAAAUAGUUGUUGAUGCGGUUGGUGCAGUUGUUGCGGCUGGUGUGUCUAAAGUGGUAAUAAUUGCAGCUGAUGUGGUUGAGCUGGCUGUAGUUGUGGUUGGUGUGGCUGUAGUUCUGGUUUGUGCAACUUUUGUUGUGGUUUGCAUAGCUGUAGUGGUGGUUGGUGCUUCUGUAGUUGCUGUUGAAACACUUGAUGAUAUUGUUGGUGCAGCUGUUGCUGUGGUUGAGCUAGCCUGAGUUGUGGUUUUUGCAGAUUUUGUAGUGGAUGGUGCACCUGUCAUUGUGGUUGAGCUAGCCUUAGUUGUGGUUGGUGUAGCUGUUGAAACAGUUGUUGAUGUGGCUGGGGUAGCUGUAGUUGAGGUGAAGCCAGCUGUAAUUGUAGUUUUUGCUUCUUUUGUAGUGCUUGGUGCAGCUGUUGUUUUGGUUGAAACAGUUGUUGAUGUGGUUGAUGCAUCUGUUGUUCUGGCAUGUGUGGCUGAAGUGGUGGUUGUGGCAGCUUUUGAGGUUGAUGGUGCAGCUGGAGUUGUGGGUGGUGCAGUUGUUGUUGCGGCUGGUGUAGCUGUUGUAGUCAUUGAAACAGUUGUUGGUGUGGUAGGGGCAGCUGUAAUUAAGGUGGAGGCAGCUGCAGUUGUGGUUUUUGCUUCUUUUGUAGUUGUUGGUGCAGCUGUAGUGGUUGUUGGUGCAUUUGUUGUAGUAGUUGAAAUAGUUGUUGAUGUGGUUGGUGCAGUUGUUGUUGCGGCUGGUGUGUCUGAAGUGGUGGUAAUUGCAGCUGAUGUUGUGGUUGAGCUGGCUGUAGUUGUGGUUGGUGUGGCUGUAGUUCUGGUUUGUGCAACUUUUGUUGUGGUUUGCAUAGCUGUAGUGGUGAUUGGUGCUUCUGUAGUUGCUGUUGAAACACUUGAUGAUAUUGUUGGUGCAGCUGUUGCUGUGGUUGAGCUAGCCUGAGUUGUGGUUUUUGCAGAUUUUGUAGUGGAUGGUGCACCUGUCAUUGUGGUUGAGCUAGCCUUAGUUGUGGUUGGUGUAGCUGUUGAAACAGUUGUUGAUGUGGCUGGGGU